This is a ribosomal RNA of Cavia aperea (Brazilian guinea pig), 118 nucleotides long. NCBI's taxonomy places the organism in Eukaryota, Metazoa, Chordata, Mammalia, Rodentia, Caviidae. The record is from Ensembl.
GUCUACCCCAUACCAUCCUGAACGCGCCCGAUCUCGUCUGAUCUCGGAAGGUAAGCAGGGUCAGGCCUGGUUAGUACUUGGAUGGGAGACCACGUGGGAAUACCGGGUGCUGUAGGCU